AUUGAACGCUGGCGGCAUGCCUUACACAUGCAAGUCGAACGGUAACGGGCCUUCGGGUGCCGACGAGUGGCGAACGGGUGAGUAAUGCAUCGGAACGUACCUUUCAGUGGGGGAUAACGUAGCGAAAGUUACGCUAAUACCGCAUAUUCUGUGAGCAGGAAAGCAGGGGAUCGCAAGACCUUGCGCUGAUUGAGCGGCCGAUGUCAGAUUAGCUAGUUGGUGAGGUAAAGGCUCACCAAGGCGACGAUCUGUAGCGGGUCUGAGAGGAUGAUCCGUCACACUGGAACUGAGACACGGUCCAGACUCCUACGGGAGGCAGCAGUGGGGAAUUUUGGACAAUGGGGGCAACCCUGAUCCAGCCAUGCCGCGUGAGUGAAGAAGGCCUGG
RNAcentral lists this ribosomal RNA (387 nucleotides) under uncultured bacterium. Its description in RNAcentral is "bacterial SSU rRNA". It matches the Rfam family "Bacterial small subunit ribosomal RNA", at positions 30 to 419 of the family's 1533-position model. The record is from RNAcentral.